This 575-nucleotide ribosomal RNA is filed under the name Celeribacter halophilus. RNAcentral's name for it is "bacterial SSU rRNA". It matches the Rfam family "Bacterial small subunit ribosomal RNA", at positions 125 to 735 of the family's 1533-position model. Lineage: Bacteria; Pseudomonadati; Pseudomonadota; Alphaproteobacteria; Rhodobacterales; Roseobacteraceae. The record is from RNAcentral.
CGUACCCUUCACUACGGAAUAGUCCCGGGAAACUGGGUUUAAUACCGUAUACGCCCUUCGGGGGAAAGAAUUUCGGUGAGGGAUCGGCCCGCGUUAGAUUAGUUAGUUGGUGGGGUAAUGGCCUACCAAGACUACGAUCUAUAGCUGGUUUGAGAGGAUGAUCAGCAACACUGGGACUGAGACACGGCCCAGACUCCUACGGGAGGCAGCAGUGGGGAAUCUUAGACAAUGGGGGCAACCCUGAUCUAGCGAUGCCGCGUGAGUGAUGAAGGCCUUAGGGUCGUAAAGCUCUUUCGCCUGUGAUGAUAAUGACAGUAGCAGGUAAAGAAACCCCGGCUAACUCCGUGCCAGCAGCCGCGGUAAUACGGAGGGGGUUAGCGUUGUUCGGAAUUACUGGGCGUAAAGCGCACGUAGGCGGAUUAGUCAGUCAGAGGUGAAAUCCCAGGGCUCAACCCUGGAACUGCCUUUGAUACUGCUAGUCUUGAGUUCGAGAGAGGUAAGUGGAAUUCCGAGUGUAGAGGUGAAAUUCGUAGAUAUUCGGAGGAACACCAGUGGCGAAGGCGGCUUACUGGCUC